Callithrix jacchus (white-tufted-ear marmoset) is the source of this 1881-nucleotide long non-coding RNA. The record is from Ensembl. Lineage: Eukaryota; Metazoa; Chordata; Mammalia; Primates; Cebidae.
GCUCAUAGACUCCAACAUGGAAUUUAAGUUGAUAUUUAUGGUGCCCUUGAGGUUGGAAAAAAAAGGAGUGACAUGGACGUUAUGGAGACUGGACUGAAGUGGGAAGUAAACUUUUAUGUUGACUGAAAAGACACGGAAAGCAGUGAUGUCUACUUGCAAGAAGGACAGAAUGAUGGAGGUUGUGUUGAAAACAAACUGGAUAAUUUUGCUGCUUUAAAAAAGACAAACCCACUACAAAAACCGGAUGCUCUCUACUUUCAAAGGAAGACAGUUUCUGCCUUCACGUAUGAAGAGUUUUUACAACUUUUCUUUUACGUACAGAAAAUAAAAGGAAUCACAGCCAUUGACAAGUUUUGUCAAUCAAAUCAAAUCAAGUCAAAAGUGACAGCUUGAUUUUCAGGUCUCUACCUUCUCUUUAGGAAAGGGAAGUAUGAAUUAGAUCUCACAGAAAAUUUGUCACAGCAAUUAAGCUACAGAAUUGCAGAAUGCUUGUGAGAGACUUGGGUUCUGAUUUGUAAGAAAAGUGUCAUGUAGCAUAUCUAUAAAUUCUGUAGCUUUCAGUAAGUAACCAAAGCUUAAAAGGUGGAAAAAAGUCAAAAUGGACUGGUUGCUAGGGCUUGCGGUGGGAAAAAUAGAGUUACUCUUCAGUGGGUAUAGAGUUUCAGUUUUACAAGAUGAAAAGUUACAGAGAUGAAUGAUGGUGAUGACUGCACAAUGCCAGGCACGAAUUUAAUACCAUGAAAUGCCACAUUUUAAAAUGGUUAAGAUGCUAAAAUUUUUAGUAUGUCCAUUUUAUCUAAAUUUUAAAAAAUGGGAAAAAGAAGAGAGCAUUCAUCAGGUACAAAUGAAAUUAUGUUUAUAAGUUCAUAUUGUUAAAUAUUCAUCCUGUAAAUCAGAUAAGCCCUGAAUGACACCCUCUUUUUAAUAGAUUACUAGGACAAUAUAUUGAAACAACAUUAUUUAGUAUCCAAAUUUCAGAUUCCAUUUCAUCAUGGUAUAAAGACCUUUAACAGGAUAUAUAAACAAAAUGCUAAUUAAUCAGUAAACAUCCUUGUUUUAUGGUAAGAUGGAAUUGUUUGUAAAAUGUAUUUUUAUUUCAAUAGAUUUUGGGGGAUCGGGGCUGUUUGGUUUAAUGAAUAAGUUAUUUAGUGGUGAUUUCUGAGACUUUGGUGCACCCAUCAUCCGAGCAGUAUACACUGUAUCCAAUGUGUAUUCUUUUCUCCCUCACCUGACUCCUAUCCUUUCCCAAGUCCACAAAGUCCAAUGUAUCAUUCUUAUGCCUUUGCAUCAUCACAGCUUAGGAGUGAAAGCAUACGAUGCUUGAAAUAAUGGUCUCCAAUUCCAUCCAGGUUUCUGCAGAAGUCAUUAUUUCACUCCUUUUUAUGGCUGACUAGUAUACCACAGUGAUUAUAUAUAUAUAUAUAUAUAUAUAUAUAUACAUACAUACAUACAUACAUACAUACAUACAUAUAUCACAUUUUCUUUAUCCACUCAUUCAUUACUGGGCUUUAAGCCUAGCUCCAUAUUUUUGCAAUUGCAAAUUAUAUUGCUAUAAACAUAUGUGUGCAGGUAUCUUUUUCACAUAAUGACUUCUUUUUCUUUGGGUACUCAGGUGUGGGAUUCCUGGAUCAAUGGUAGCUCUACUUUUAGUUUAGUUUAAGAAAUUUCCACACUGUUUUCUACAGUAAUCAUAAAUUAGACAAAUAUUAUUUGACUUAAAAGAACUAAAUUACUGGACAAUAAUUCCAUUAUUGAGAGGGUGUGUGUGUGUAUUUGAUCCUAAUUAAAGCAUAUUGAAUGUACUCUAGAAAUAGUAAUAUUUAAUGUUCAUAGGUAAAUUUCAAGUAUUACCAAUUGAAGAAUAUAAAUUGAACUUAAAAU